RNAcentral lists this unclassified non-coding RNA (540 nucleotides) under Maxillaria rufescens. RNAcentral's name for it is "partial external transcribed spacer". The record is from RNAcentral. Lineage: Eukaryota; Viridiplantae; Streptophyta; Magnoliopsida; Asparagales; Orchidaceae.
GGUCCGCAACAACUCAUNUGAGGUGUUGCGGACCAUGUUGUAACCGAUUGGUGGCUACUUUGUGCGGCCAACUGUCGUUGUGGCAGUCCUUUCACUUGCUCGCUCCUUGUAAUAUUUUGGAGAUCGAUCGUAAUAGUUGCUUGUGAUUGGAAUCCUUUUGUUGGUGGUAUUAACUUCGUUUGAUGUCUCGUGGAUUAGCCUCUAUGCCUGUCUUCAAGGCUUGGAGAUUGCUAUAUGGAAUGUGGCCCUUCCACCCUUGGCCUUUGGAGCUGCCACACGGCAUUCUCCUAUCUAAGGCUGUGGAAUGAGGGCCUCAUGAUAUUGUUGCAAAUGUGGCUCCUUCGAAAUCGGGUCUUGGUGUCGUGGCGCCUUUGCUCGAGUUGUGAUUUAUCCAAGAGGAUAGUGCCUUCAUCUUCAGUGCGACUUUGGUGCUUUCCCCUCCUGUCAUAUGAAAUGUAUGACUGUGGUGGGGUGAGAUCAUGGCUGCGUUGAGGACGUGCUACCUGGUUGAUCCUGCCAGUAGUCAUAUGGCUUGGUCUA